CUCCACCUACGGGACGCAGCAGUGGGGAAUAUUGCACAAUGGGCGCAAGCCUGAUGCAGCGACGCCGCGUGCGGGAUGGAGGCCUUCGGGUUGUAAACCGCUUUUGUUCAAGGGCAAGGCACGGUCUUUGGCCGUGUUGAGUGGAUUGUUCGAAUAAGCACCGGCUAACUACGUGCCAGCAGCCGCGGUAAUACGUAGGGGGCAAGCGUUAUCCGGAUUUAUUGGGCGUAAAGGGCUCGUAGGCGGUUCGGCGCGUCCGGUGUGAAAGUCCAUCGCUUAACGGUGG
RNAcentral lists this ribosomal RNA (286 nucleotides) under uncultured bacterium. Its description in RNAcentral is "partial 16S ribosomal RNA". It matches the Rfam family "Bacterial small subunit ribosomal RNA", at positions 331 to 618 of the family's 1533-position model. The record is from RNAcentral.